GGCUCAGAUUGAACGCUGGCGGCAGGCCUAACACAUGCAAGUCGAGCGGUAGAGAGGUGCUUGCAUCUCUUGAGAGCGGCGGACGGGUGAGUAAUGCCUAGGAAUCUGCCUAGUGGUGGGGGGAUAACGUUCGGAAACGGACGCUAAUACCGCAUACGUCCUACGGGAGAAAGCGGGGGGAUCUUCGGACCUCGCGCCAUUAGAUGAGCCUAGGUCGGAUUAGCUAGUUGGUGAGGUAAUGGCUCACCAAGGCGACGAUCCGUAACUGGUCUGAGAGGAUGAUCAGUCACACUGGAACUGAGACACGGUCCAGACUCCUACGGGAGGCAGCAGUGGGGAAUAUUGGACAAUGGGCGAAAGCCUGAUCCAGCCAUGCCGCGUGUGUGAAGAAGGUCUUCGGAUUGUAAAGCACUUUAAGUUGGGAGGAAGGGUAGUAACCUAAUACGUUGCUACUUUGACGUUACCGACAGAAUAAGCACCGGCUAACUUCGUG
Molecule: ribosomal RNA, 493 nt
Filed under: uncultured bacterium
Lineage: Bacteria
Description: bacterial SSU rRNA
Rfam family: Bacterial small subunit ribosomal RNA
Source: RNAcentral